GCUCUAGCAGACUGUGAGCUCCAUGAGGGCAAGGAGUGCCCCUUGCCAACGUCUGGCAGGGUGCCUGGCAAGCGAAGGAAUAAUCGAAUGAAAGAUGAUGCAUGUAAAAUGCUUAGCUCGGCGCCUGCUGCAGAGCAGUCGCUCCAUGGAUGCUAGCAAGUGUUCUUACUACUAAACAAACCCAAGGACUUCCCUGGUGGUCCAGUGGCUAAGACUCCACAUUCCCAAUGCAGGGGGCCUGGGUUCGAUCCCUGGUCCGGGAACUAGAGCCCACAUGCUGCAACAUGUAGCAUGCAGCAACAAAGACCUAGCGCAGCCAAAUAAACACUAAAAAGAAAACAAACCCACACUCACGUUUUGAGACUGUCCACAUAGAACACGUGACUUUUGGGUCAGUCACUCUGCCAGCUCUACUGCCUUGGAGAGAGCACAGGGUGGGGGUCCUAGGGUCCCCCGCUCCCCCCCCUCCUCCCGCCCAGCAUGCUUUGACUACUUUUUAUGAUGACUGUGGGAACAGAGCGGAGAAGAGCUGCCUUGGCCUGGCCCCUGCUCUGCGAGUGGGGAGGCUGGAGUGCAAGCUGAGUAGGACCUAGGGACCUAUGAAGUCCUCGGACACCACCCCUGCCCCAGCCCAGACUGGGCUCACCUAUCACUGCGCUCAGCCUCUCCCCAGUGACUGCGUAGCUCCGGGGCACCUGUAAUGUCAUUUGCAUGUAGUAUUUCUAAUAUGAGAGUCCUCCUCUGGAGUUCACGGCUGUAGCUGCGGGACUUGGCGCGCACCUGGCCUGUAGCGGGUCUCCAUAAAUACGUGCUGAAUGAUGAAGAUGCAAGGGAAGCAUCUCUAGGGCUGUGAUUUCUAACUUUUCUGAGUCACUGACUACUUUGAAAAACCCACGAAACCUUUGGACAUCCCACCCGCUACCCGCCACCUCGCCAAGCACCCAGAGUGGGACAUAUCAUUUCAAGGAUUUCAUGCAUUCCUCCACCCUAAGGUCAUUCAUAAAGCUCUGCCUAAGAUCUUUCUAUCUGGGGCGCGGGCCAGCUCUGAGAUCCCGGCGUGGGGGAGGCGGGAUGGUGGGGAAGAUGUUACCAAGAGGCACACUCUGGGGAGCCCAACCUCCCCCCAAGAGGCUGGCGAAGAACGGGCAAAUGUAACCUCCUGGGAUCUAUCGCACGGGUCAAUCACUGAAGAACUAUGGACGGAGGUUCAUAACAUUGUACAGGAGGCGGUGACCAAAACCAUCCCAAAGAAAAAGAAAUGCAAGAAGGCAUUUGUGGUUGUCUGAGGAGGCCUUAUAAAUAGCAGAGGAAAGAAGAGAAACAGAAGGUAAGGGAGAAAGGGAAAGGUAUACCCAACUGAAUGCAGAGUUUCAGAGAAUAGCAAGGAGAUAUAAGAAAGCUUUCUUAAGUGAACAAUGCAAAGAAAUAGAGGAAAACAAUAGAAUGGGAAAGACUAGACAUCUCUUCAAGAAAAUUGGAGAUACCAAGGGAACAUUUCAUGUAAAUAUGGGCACAAUAAAGGACAGAAAUAGCAAGGCCCUAACA
Molecule: long non-coding RNA, 1545 nt
Filed under: Bos indicus x Bos taurus (hybrid cattle)
Lineage: Eukaryota; Metazoa; Chordata; Mammalia; Artiodactyla; Bovidae
Description: lncRNA (ENSBIXG00000019920.1)
Rfam family: tRNA (bases 191-263)
Source: RNAcentral